This 239-nucleotide long non-coding RNA is filed under the name Pan troglodytes (chimpanzee). RNAcentral describes it as "long non-coding RNA NONPTRT002778". The record is from RNAcentral. Lineage: Eukaryota; Metazoa; Chordata; Mammalia; Primates; Hominidae.
UUGUAUUAUUAGUAGAGACUGGGUUUCACCAUGUUGGCCAGGCUGCUCACAAAACUUUGACCUCAGGUGAUCUACCCACCUUGACCUCCCAAAGUGCUGGGAUUACAGGCAUGAGCCACUGCACCCAGCCACAUAUAAACAAUUUCAUCUAUGUCCAUAGCUCUAAUAUAUAGCCUAGAUUAGGUUAUCACUCAAUAUCAGUUUUAAAUCCUGUAAAAUGGGGAUAAUUAUAGUUUGUA